This 253-nucleotide ribosomal RNA is filed under the name uncultured bacterium. Its description in RNAcentral is "partial 16S ribosomal RNA". It matches the Rfam family "Bacterial small subunit ribosomal RNA", at positions 524 to 776 of the family's 1533-position model. The record is from RNAcentral.
UACGUAGGUGGCAAGCGUUGUCCGGAUUUACUGGGUGUAAAGGGCGUGUAGCCGGGUUGACAAGUCAGAUGUGAAAUCCUGCGGCUUAACCGCAGAACUGCAUUUGAAACUGUUGAUCUUGAGUACUGGAGAGGCAGACGGAAUUCCAUGUGUAGCGGUGAAAUGCGUAGAUAUAUGGAGGAACACCGGUGGCGAAAGCGGCUCUCUGGCCUGUAACUGACACUGAGGCUCGAAAGCGUGGGGAGCAAACAGG